GUUAAGUUAGAAAGGGCGCACGGUGGAUGCCUUGACACUAGGAGUCGAUGAAGGACGGGACUAACGCCGAUAUGCUUCGGGGAGCUGUAAGUAAGCUUUGAUCCGAAGAUUUCCGAAUGGGGAAACCCACCAUACGUAAUGGUAUGGUAUCCUUAUCUGAAUACAUAGGGUAAGGAAGACAGACCCAGGGAACUGAAACAUCUAAGUACCUGGAGGAAGAGAAAGCAAAUGCGAUUUCCUGAGUAGCGGCGAGCGAAACGGAACAUAGCCCAAACCAAGAGGCUUGCCUCUUGGGGUUGUAGGACAUUCUAUACGGAGUUACAAAGGAACGAGGUAGACGAAGCGACCUGGAAAGGUCCGUCGUAGAGGGUAACAACCCCGUAGUCGAAACUUCGUUCUCUCUUGAAUGUAUCCUGAGUACGGCGGAACACGUGAAAUUCCGUCGGAAUCUGGGAGGACCAUCUCCCAAGGCUAAAUACUCCCUAGUGAUCGAUAGUGAACCAGUACCGUGAGGGAAAGGUGAAAAGCACCCCGGAAGGGGAGUGAAAGAGAUCCUGAAACCGUGUGCCUACAAAUAGUCAGAGCCCGUUAACGGGUGAUGGCGUGCCUUUUGUAGAAUGAACCGGCGAGUUACGAUCCCGUGCGAGGUUAAGCUGAAGAGGCGGAGCCGCAGCGAAAGCGAGUCUGAAUAGGGCGUUUAGUACGUGGUCGUAGACCCGAAACCAGGUGAUCUACCCAUGUCCAGGGUGAAGUUCAGGUAACACUGAAUGGAGGCCCGAACCCACGCACGUUGAAAAGUGCGGGGAUGAGGUGUGGGUAGCGGAGAAAUUCCAAUCGAACCUGGAGAUAGCUGGUUCUCCCCGAAAUAGCUUUAGGGCUAGCCUUAAGUGUAAGAGUCUUGGAGGUAGAGCACUGAUUGGACUAGGGGUCCUCAUCGGAUUACCGAAUUCAGUCAAACUCCGAAUGCCAAUGACUUAUCCUUAGGAGUCAGACUGCGAGUGAUAAGAUCCGUAGUCAAAAGGGAAACAGCCCAGACCGCCAGCUAAGGUCCCAAAGUGUGUAUUAAGUGGAAAAGGAUGUGGAGUUGCUUAGACAACUAGGAUGUUGGCUUAGAAGCAGCCACCAUUUAAAGAGUGCGUAAUAGCUCACUAGUCGAGUGACUCUGCGCCGAAAAUGUACCGGGGCUAAAUACACCACCGAAGCUGCGGAUUGAUACCGAAUGGUAUCAGUGGUAGGGGAGCGUUCUAAGGACAGUGAAGUCAGACCGUAAGGACUGGUGGAGUGCUUAGAAGUGAGAAUGCCGGUAUGAGUAGCGAAAGACGGGUGAGAAUCCCGUCCACCGAAUGCCUAAGGUUUCCUGAGGAAGGCUCGUCCGCUCAGGGUUAGUCAGGACCUAAGCCGAGGCCGACAGGCGUAGGCGAUGGACAACAGGUUGAUAUUCCUGUACCACCUCUUUAUCGUUUGAGCAAUGGAGGGACGCAGAAGGAUAGAAGAAGCGUGCGAUUGGUUGUGCACGUCCAAGCAGUUAGGCUGAUAAGUAGGCAAAUCCGCUUAUCAUAAAGGCUGAGCUGUGAUGGGGAAGCUCCUUAUGGAGCGAAGUCUUUGAUUCCCCGCUGCCAAGAAAAGCUUCUAGCGAGAUAAAAGGUGCCUGUACCGCAAACCGACACAGGUAGGCGAGGAGAGAAUCCUAAGGUGUGCGAGAGAACUCUGGUUAAGGAACUCGGCAAAAUGACCCCGUAACUUCGGGAGAAGGGGUGCUUUCUUAACGGAAAGCCGCAGUGAAUAGGCCCAAGCGACUGUUUAGCAAAAACACAGCUCUCUGCGAAGCCGUAAGGCGAAGUAUAGGGGGUGACACCUGCCCGGUGCUGGAAGGUUAAGGAGAGGGGUUAGCGUAAGCGAAGCUCUGAACUGAAGCCCCAGUAAACGGCGGCCGUAACUAUAACGGUCCUAAGGUAGCGAAAUUCCUUGUCGGGUAAGUUCCGACCCGCACGAAAGGUGUAACGAUUUGGGCACUGUCUCAACCAGAGACUCGGUGAAAUUAUAGUACCUGUGAAGAUGCAGGUUACCCGCGACAGGACGGAAAGACCCCGUGGAGCUUUACUGUAGCCUGAUAUUGAAUUUUGGUACAGUUUGUACAGGAUAGGCGGGAGCCAUUGAAACCGGAGCGCUAGCUUCGGUGGAGGCGCUGGUGGGAUACCGCCCUGACUGUAUUGAAAUUCUAACCUACGGGUCUUAUCGACCCGGGAGACAGUGUCAGGUGGGCAGUUUGACUGGGGCGGUCGCCUCCUAAAGUGUAACGGAGGCGCCCAAAGGUUCCCUCAGAAUGGUUGGAAAUCAUUCGUAGAGUGCAAAGGCAUAAGGGAGCUUGACUGCGAGACCUACAAGUCGAGCAGGGACGAAAGUCGGGCUUAGUGAUCCGGUGGUUCCGCAUGGAAGGGCCAUCGCUCAACGGAUAAAAGCUACCCCGGGGAUAACAGGCUUAUCUCCCCCAAGAGUCCACAUCGACGGGGAGGUUUGGCACCUCGAUGUCGGCUCAUCGCAUCCUGGGGCUGUAGUCGGUCCCAAGGGUUGGGCUGUUCGCCCAUUAAAGCGGUACGCGAGCUGGGUUCAGAACGUCGUGAGACAGUUCGGUCCCUAUCCGUCGUGGGCGUAGGAAAUUUGAGAGGAGCUGUCCUUAGUACGAGAGGACCGGGAUGGACGCACCGCUGGUGUACCAGUUGUUCUGCCAAGGGCAUAGCUGGGUAGCUAUGUGCGGAAGGGAUAAGUGCUGAAAGCAUCUAAGCAUGAAGCCCCCCUCAAGAUGAGAUUUCCCAUAGCGUAAGCUAGUAAGAUUCCUGAAAGAUGAUCAGGUUGAUAGGUUCGAGGUGGAAGCAUGGUGACAUGUGGAGCUGACGAAUACUAAUAGAUCGAGGACUUAACCA
This 2921-nucleotide ribosomal RNA is filed under the name Bacillus thuringiensis serovar kurstaki str. HD73. RNAcentral's name for it is "bacterial LSU rRNA". It matches the Rfam family "Bacterial large subunit ribosomal RNA". Lineage: Bacteria; Bacillati; Bacillota; Bacilli; Caryophanales; Bacillaceae. The record is from RNAcentral.